Molecule: non-coding RNA, 276 nt
Organism: Schizosaccharomyces pombe (fission yeast)
Lineage: Eukaryota; Fungi; Ascomycota; Schizosaccharomycetes; Schizosaccharomycetales; Schizosaccharomycetaceae
Source: the annotation of a GenBank genome assembly
UUUUUAUCUAUAACUCUACAUCCGAACUCAUUUCGAUGCAGAUAUGUGAACAUCUGAUGGCUUUUCUGUCGGACGAGAACCAAAUAUGGAACUGCCAACACGAACAGAGUCGCUUCCAUAUUUUAUAGCAAGGAGAUAAUCAGAACUCAUUCCCAUAGACAAUUGUAAAGGGAUACCGAGCUCAUUUUGCAAAGACUCACGAAGAUCUGAAAGAACCUGUACUGCGUUAGGAAGAGCAAAGAUGAAUAAAAAGGAAGAAAAAGGAAAUAAUCUUAC